Long non-coding RNA from Ceratitis capitata (Mediterranean fruit fly), 297 nucleotides. RefSeq lists it as uncharacterized. NCBI's taxonomy places the organism in Eukaryota, Metazoa, Arthropoda, Insecta, Diptera, Tephritidae. The transcript has 2 exons. The record is from RefSeq and is a predicted model, not a curated record.
CCCUUAUCGUAGCAUAGAAAACACUUUUUCGUAUUUGACUUGCAGUAUUUGAGACCCUCAGUAGUGAGUUCGGAUAUGCAGCCACGUGUGUUCAAUUUUCUUCCGGAAGGGAGCGAGAAAAAUCCUAACUCCAAUUUGUUUCUAGUAUCAGAGUGGGGCCGUUAAGAUAAAGUGAUGCACUCGCUUCUGUGAGCUCCAACUACGGAAAGACCAGCAAGAAGUUAUCGCUCUUUGGCUCAGAGAGUAAAAACUAUAUAAUAAUAAUAAUAAUAUAAUGGUCCACCAAAAUUAAUGAUA